UUGCCAUUCACUGAGAAGGGCUUCCUUACAUGAAAUUGGCGUGUCCUAGUCAUGGUUUUGUGACAUCUGAGAGUACUUAUCACUUCAAGGGAUUAUGCAAUCCUGAAAAUAGUUUCCAAAAAAAUUUAAUUUAACCUUAUUUUUGUAAAUAUGACCUAUGUCUUAUAAUACUCCCCCACUUCCUAUUUGACAAGGAGAGAAAGAAGGCUGUCAUGAUGUGAACUCAAUUUUAUUUUUUCUUUUACAGAAACCAUUUAUCGAAGACUUACCAUGUACCCUGCAUUAUAUGUACAUGAGAGAUACAGUAACAAUCCUAGAUACAAUCCUAGGAGGAAGUUGGGAACCACAAAUUGACAGAUUGUUUUUCUGCAUAAUAGAAGCAAAGUAAAGGGAAAUAAUAUUGCAUUUCUUAUACCUGGGCCCACACUCUCGAACUUUUACUUGCUACAAAUAUUUCAAGGUGACCCCUGAACGGUGCCAGUGGAUAGUAAGCUAGACAAUAUCUGAUUCCAUUGGUUCCAAUCAAAUAUAAAUAAAAGUAGAUAUAUGUCAUACUUUACAUACAAAGAUGAGGUGGUUAAUUUAUCACUAAAAGUGGCUUGGAGUUAGUAGGGUUCCUGGUUCCUGGGAAAAAUACCCUUUAUGGCUUAAGCUCCAUCAAACAGAAACCAUUCUAUAAAGCUACUUGCCUUACCUUUGCCAUUAGAUUGCUCUCCAAAUUAGUUAAAACUUUUAAGCCUAUUUACAAAGCUGUCUGAUGCAAUCCGAUUAUGACACAGCUUGAAUUUCAGUGCCAAUUAUAUGUUUGGGAUAAAAAGAUGAGAUUGGCUUAUAACUAUAUAUUUUUGAAAGAUAGGUGUGUGAUUUGUGCCUGGGAAUCCAAGACCUUAAAUACCUAACUGGUCUUGAUGAAAGUCAGAGAAAUACUAGCUACCCCAUAAUAGAGGUCUUUCCAGGGCAGCCUGGAGCAGUAGAGCACAGAUUCUGAAACUACGACUGCUGUUGUACCUGCUCAGACUUGCUGAAAGAAGAGCUACUCUUCCUCUGACAAAAUGAGGACUGAUGGGUUCUUCUCAGUUUCCUUGGAGACCCACAGGGUGCUGGAGCAACUCCUUCUCCCAUUCUACCAUGUGUGGGUACUGCUAUUGUACUAUUAGUCAGGGGGUGAGAAACCUAACCCUUUACCCCCAGCUGCUAAAUUUUUUCUUCUUUCUUCCUAAGUCCGGAGAGGACAAGAGGCAGCCCCAAAGCUUGCUUUUGUUUUGCCUGUACCUUGGGGAUCCACACUCUUUCUAAGGCCCGUUUUUACAGAAAGAGGGAUGUGCUUCUGUUCUCACUCUAGAACUCAGAUCUACACACGUAGACUUUGAAUUGUUUCUCCAGUAGUGGCCAUGGGCUAUAUCCAUAUUAUUAUUGUUUAAAUGUGUCACCCGCAGUUCAUGUGUUGGAAACCUAAUCCCCAACUUAACAGUAUUGAGAGGCAGGACACUUAAGAGGUGAUUAAGUCAUGAGGGCUCUGCUCUCAUGAAUGGAUGAAUGCUGUUAUCUUGGGAAUGGGUUAAUCAUCAUAGGAAUGGGUUCCUGAUAAAAUAAUGAGUUUGACCCCCAUCUGUCUUGCUCUCUCUCAUGCUCUUUCACCAUGUGAAGCCUUCCAUCAUGUUAUGACUCAGCAAGAAGGCCCUUGCCAGAUGCAGGUGCUUUGACCUUGAACUUCUCAG
Molecule: long non-coding RNA, 1718 nt
Filed under: Homo sapiens (human)
Lineage: Eukaryota; Metazoa; Chordata; Mammalia; Primates; Hominidae
Description: HSALNT0190427
Source: RNAcentral